GUCCCAGAGGACCUUGCGCCGGUUUCCGGGAAGGGAGCCAGGAGGAUUUGCCGGUUGGGACUGACUGUCCGGAUCCGAAAUUUCUGAAUCUAAUGCCGGAAAGUGUUUCUCACGUUUGUGUAACAUUUUAAAGAUUACUGUGUGCUUUUACAAUCAUCACUACUCUAGAUCCUUUGCAAAAACUGGAGGAGCCUCGUCCCCCUGUUCUCCAGAGAGAGGAGAGGAGCUGGAAAUGGAGUUAAUUGAUCAUGCCUACAUUAGGAAGCCUCCAUAAAAUCCCAAUAGUAUGGGGUUUGGAGAGGUUCCAUUUGGUGAACACAUCCAUUUACCAAGAGAGUGACUCACCCCAACCCUACGAGGACAGAAGCUCCUGCGCUUGGGACACUCCCAGACCUUGCCCUAUGUAUCCCUUCAUCUGGCUGUUUAUCUGCAGCCUUUAUCAUAUCCUUUAAUAAACUGGUAAAUGUAA
Molecule: long non-coding RNA, 469 nt
Organism: Equus caballus (horse)
Lineage: Eukaryota; Metazoa; Chordata; Mammalia; Perissodactyla; Equidae
Source: RefSeq, a predicted model, not a curated record